RNAcentral lists this ribosomal RNA (301 nucleotides) under uncultured bacterium. RNAcentral describes it as "partial 16S ribosomal RNA". It matches the Rfam family "Bacterial small subunit ribosomal RNA", at positions 509 to 809 of the family's 1533-position model. The record is from RNAcentral.
CAGUCGCCACGGUAAUACGAAGGGGGCUAGCGUUGCUCGGAAUGACUGGGCGUAAAGGGCGCGUAGGCGGUUCGUACAGUUGGAUGUGAAAUUCCUGGGCUUAACCUGGGGGCUGCAUUCAAUACGUGCGGGCUUGAGUGUGGAAGAGGGUUGUGGAAUUCCCAGUGUAGAGGUGAAAUUCGUAGAUAUUGGGAAGAACACCGGUGGCGAAGGCGGCAACCUGGUCCAUAACUGACGCUGAGGCGCGAAAGCGUGGGGAGCAAAUGGGAUUAGAUACCCCUGUAGUCCCUGUCUCUUAUAA